Molecule: long non-coding RNA, 734 nt
Filed under: Rattus norvegicus (Norway rat)
Lineage: Eukaryota; Metazoa; Chordata; Mammalia; Rodentia; Muridae
Description: long non-coding RNA NONRATT018489
Source: RNAcentral
GCCUAGGAGAGUUUGGAUCAGUGCGGGAAGCCCAGCUGAAGCAGGAAGAUGGCUCCUUUGUGAAAGUGGCAGUGAAGAUGCUGAAAGCUGACAUCAUUGCCUCAAGCGACAUAGAAGAGUUCCUGAGAGAAGCAGCUUGCAUGAAGGAGUUUGACCAUCCACACGUGGCCAAGCUUGUUGGUGAGCCCAUUUGGAGGAGGCAGAUAUAGAAUAGGGCUAAAAAUAUGCUCCACCAACGUGAGAGGGUAGCCUGGAGGAGAAAAGUUUGGCUACCCAGUGAGCAAGCAGGUAGUUGGUGAGGUCCUGUCUGAAAUCUGGCUGGAAGGAGCUGAGCUCCAAACUGCUCAUGUGGGCGGAGGAGAAACAGAGGAGGUAACACUCAGAGCAAGGGCCAGCAGGCCGAGCAGAGCCCUUCAUGGGUAGUCCCCAGGCAGGAGUAACAGUGCCAGGGCUAGAGAUGGAAGCCAGGAGGUAGGGAGGGCCUGUGGCAGAUACCUAGCUGUCCUUAGGUCUUUGUGUGCCCAGUUCUUGACUUUCCCUUGUCUCCCAGGAGUGAGCCUCCGGAGCAGGGCUAAAGGUCGUCUCCCCAUUCCCAUGGUCAUCCUGCCCUUCAUGAAGCACGGAGACUUGCAUGCCUUUCUGCUCGCCUCCCGAAUUGGGGAGAACCCUUUUGUGAGUGCCUCAGGUGGGGGUGGCCAGGAGGAACUGGGUGGGAGACCGAUCCCUGUAAAAGG